AAGAGAAGGGGGAUGGGUCCCGCAGGACAGUUCCAGGGCCCGAGCCCCUGCAGGCCGCCUGCCGGCCGGUUGAACCCAGCCCCCGCCCCUACCCCCGGGCAGGGCUCCAGCCCUUGGACCACGCGCCCCCGCCCGCGUCCGGCCUCCGACGCCGUUAGUUACCUCGGAUUCUGCGAAGAAAAUUGUUGUGGAGGAGUGGGGGCUUUCCAGAAAAAGCGUUAAAAUUGCCGAGUAAGAGCUCUUCACGUUUAUUGAACGCUAAUAAGGUUUUGGGAAGUGUUUUCCAGCGUCACAUUUGCUCUUCAUGGGCCCCUUUCUGAAUCUGAGUUUCAGUAUCUGUGAAUUAAAGAUAAAGAUUGAACCAGGGAA
This is a long non-coding RNA of Monodelphis domestica (gray short-tailed opossum), 369 nucleotides long. RefSeq lists it as uncharacterized. NCBI's taxonomy places the organism in Eukaryota, Metazoa, Chordata, Mammalia, Didelphimorphia, Didelphidae. The record is from RefSeq and is a predicted model, not a curated record.